GUCUUGGUGGCUCAGAUGGUAGAGCACUGUGAUGAUGAAUCCAGUGGUCGUGGGUUCAAGUCCCACCCAAGACA
Cydia strobilella is the source of this 74-nucleotide non-coding RNA. NCBI's taxonomy places the organism in Eukaryota, Metazoa, Arthropoda, Insecta, Lepidoptera, Tortricidae. The record is from the annotation of a RefSeq genome assembly.